GCCCGAGUGGUGAAAUCGGUAGACACAGCAGAUUUAAAAUCUGCCGACUCAAAAAAGUCGUGCCGGUUCAAUUCCGGCCUCGGGCACCA
Molecule: transfer RNA, 89 nt
Filed under: Polynucleobacter necessarius STIR1
Lineage: Bacteria; Pseudomonadati; Pseudomonadota; Betaproteobacteria; Burkholderiales; Burkholderiaceae
Description: tRNA-Leu (TAA) (tRNA-Leu-TAA-1-1)
Rfam family: tRNA
About the family: Transfer RNA (tRNA) molecules are approximately 80 nucleotides in length. Their secondary structure includes four short double-helical elements and three loops (D, anti-codon, and T loops).
Source: RNAcentral